RNAcentral lists this ribosomal RNA (480 nucleotides) under Albula argentea (longjaw bonefish). Its description in RNAcentral is "partial small subunit ribosomal RNA". It matches the Rfam family "Bacterial small subunit ribosomal RNA", at positions 788 to 1491 of the family's 1533-position model. The record is from RNAcentral. Lineage: Eukaryota; Metazoa; Chordata; Actinopteri; Albuliformes; Albulidae.
CACUAUGCUUAGCCUUAAACUUUGAUAAUAUGUUACAGAUAUUAUCCGCCAGGGGACUACAAGCGCUAGCUUAAAACCCAAAGGACUUGGCGACACCUUAGAUCCCCCUAGAGGAGCCCGUUCUAUAACCGAUGAUCCUCGUUUAACCUCACCGCCCCUUGUAAGUCCAGCCUAUAUACCGCCGUCGUCAGCUUACCUUGUGAAGGAUUAGUAGUAAGCUUAAUGGGUAAGGCCCAGAACGUCAGGUCGAGGUGUAGCUAAUGGGGCGGGAAGAAAUGGGCUACAUUUUCUGGUUCAGAAUAUUACGGAUAAUGCUUUGAAAUAGGCAUUGUGAAGGUGGAUUUAGCAGUAAAGAGUGAAGUAGAGUGUCCUCUUGAAGCUGGCUCUAAGGCACGCACACACCGCCCGUCACUCUCCUCGAAUUACAUGAGUAACAAGUAUAUAAGCUUUAAGGUAGCUAUAAGAGGAGGUAAGUCGUAA